Acanthochromis polyacanthus (spiny chromis) is the source of this 3206-nucleotide long non-coding RNA. RefSeq lists it as uncharacterized. The transcript has 4 exons. The record is from RefSeq and is a predicted model, not a curated record. Lineage: Eukaryota; Metazoa; Chordata; Actinopteri; Pomacentridae.
CUGCUAUUUAUGCCACACACUCAAGACACCAAUUGUCAAGAAUUUCCCUGCAAACUGUCAUAUGUUAGUGAAUGUGUUUGGAGGAAGCAGCGGCAGCGGAGGGCGAGCAGCGCGGAGGGAGAGACGCCACUUUUCAGCUGCUGAGCAAAUUGUCUUCUGGGCAUGAGGGGGACAUGAAGGAGGAAUCUGAGCAGAGCUGCUGCAAUUUAAGGCAGAAAGAAAGACCCAGGACAACCGGGACAUCCGUUUAUUUGGUAGCAAUACCCCCCCAGCACCCUCUGCUUCUCCCGUCCAGCUGCCUCCCUCCCGGCGUCUGGGAGCCCCUCCACCAGGACAUGUGUUCCUGACUGGAAGAAAGGAGGGGCUCAGUUUAGAGACACAAUGUCACCACAACAAUGUGUGAGGGGCACGGCUAGAGGAAGCAGAGCACUUUGGAAUAAAGGCGAAAUACUGAAUCAAGCAGGUGCAGAACACGGACUGACUGACUGAACCAGGUGGGAUUCCUCCACAAAGGCCUUUACUGCGAAUCAAAACUAAAAUACAAAUAAAACCAGGACAAAAAAAAAACCUGUCUUCUCUCAGAUGAAAAUUCUGCAGUGAGACAGAAAGCAUCACAGAGGCGCUGGGAAGCAGUUCCCCUAGUUUAGAUUAAUGGUACUUCGCGCUUAUUCUGCAGUCGGGGUGAAAGGGCUGGGAUCACUAAUGAUUAUAAUAUAAUGUGUGGCGAUAACCACUCCCUUUGAGAUAUUAUCGCCCGCUGGCCAAUGCUCAGGGGACGAGCUGCAUGGCUGCAGAGCGGCAGAUAGCUGCUGCUGCUGCUUCAGCCACCGCAGCGGAUUUCUGCGCUCCGGAAAAAAACAGAAAGAAAAAAGAAAGAAAAAGCCCGCAAGCAUGGAGAGGGAGAGCUGGCCGCUGCUGAUACCUGCAUUAAAAUAUACAGCAGAGCAAAGCGGCCCAUUAUUGCUGUUUUUUUUUCUUUUCUUAUUUUAAACGAUGAGAUGAUGUAGAUUUUUAUGACAAUAUCAGCGCAUGUUUAUUCACGAGCGCAUUGCCUCUAUUUUUCACCCAACAGCUGUAAAUCAGACAAAAAAAUCCUUUCUACCAGUUUAUAACAGCAAGCAUUUUAAGUGAUUUAAUUACUACUAGGAAGAAGCAUUUAGAGCCUCCUAAACGGCUUUUUACUGCAGGGAAACCUGCUAGAGAUGAUCUUAAAGCUCCUUUGGUUCCACCAGCAAAGCCACUUCCCUUUUUGUCUCCAAAUUUCAAAAGUAGAAAAAUGUGAAUUAAUGUUGAAUUUUAAAAUUCCGCUUUGUCGUGAAUUAUUUUCUGAUCAUCGAUUUUUAUUUAUUUAUUUAUUUAUUUAUUUGCUGUUAUGGAGACAAACCAUAAAUGAUUUACAUUCUUUGAUGGGUGUUUUUUUUUCUUUUUCCAAAGCCCCUUGUCGGCAAAAACUGAAAAAGCCUUCUUCUUGUAGUCUUGCAGUAAAACUUUUCUUUUGCACAGAUGUAUCCGUUGUGGAUGAGCUCCAAGUGAAAACCGCUUUCCACAUAUCAUAUAAUAUCGAAGUAUCUCCACAGGGAAACCUGCAGGCCUCUACAAUUAUAUAAGACAGCCAGCAAAACCGUCUUUUGCAUCCAACAUGCUACACACACUGAAUGUCGUGGAGCCACACAUGUCAAUAUUCACCUACAGCUUUUCCCCGGCCAUGGUAAAGAAACAAAAACUCACGCCGAAUCAAACAAGAAUCAAGAAGCUUCUGAUUGUUCUUUAAUGUGGACGCGCACAAAAGCCGAUUAGGCUGGAAAUCCCUGCAUAAUUAUCGACGUUCAGUGAUCAAUAACAAACAGCUCAGUCCUCAACAACGUCUGAGUAAAAAAGGGGCUGUGGGAGAAAGAAGGACAGGAGGAGGAGGAGGAGGAAGAAGUGGAGUGAGUGAUGCUGCUGUGUUGGACGCACCGCCAACAAUCCCGCGCUAUCUGUCUUCAUUGGAGCUUUUGUGUGCGCAAAAAGCAAAGGCGCGCAUAAGGUAAAGCCCGCAUCAAAGCCGCGGCUUUAUUUUUAUAUCCAAUAGAUCAGCAGGCAGACAAAGCUUUAUUUUCGCCAGGAGAGAGAUAUUUUACCUCUGCCUUACGGUUUUAUGUUGGAGAGGUGUCAGCCGCUGGAAAUGGAUGGCUAAUGCAUAGGCAAAGCGCUGCUCGCCUCGGCAUGCUGCACGUCAGAGGGGGGCUGCAGGGAAGAGCAGCGUGGAUUUAAGGCCCCUGGGGGCCCAGCACGAGGGACUGAGCACAAGGGGCGUCAGAGAUAUCAGGCUUCCGCUCAUGCUGUAGCUCCUAAUACAGUAGAACACAGAUGAAAGAUGAAUUCUGGACGUUUGUUAAAAGUCCAUGGUCAGUCUCAGCCUUGAUGGAGCCCUGAACCCUGGCCCUCCAGUUCUUUAAAUAACUAACAAAUAAACAACAGGAGACAUUUAGCAACAAAUGAAGCAAUAAAAAAUAAAAACACACUUCACACACAGUUAGUGAGCAAACAAAAUCAGUCUGGUUUCAUAAAUGAAUCUUGGUUUCAUUUUUAGGCAUUCAAGUUUUCAGGAAAUGCCUGUUGACAUUAUUGGUUGGAAGCCUCUUAAAGAGCUAAUAAGUGGACACAUGGAGCUCAAACCAGAGCGCAGCACAGAGGGACACACAUCUCACCUUUCUUUCACAACACAGAGCUGGACUAAUUUAUGACAGCAAAAGAGUAACCCUUAUUUACCCAGUCACCCUGACACCUCCUACAGCUCAUCCUGUCAGCUCUGAUUUGAUGCAUGAGGAAUGUGAAGUGCUGCAUAGUAAGGGCCAUAGCCUCCCAUUAAAACCAAGGGCCGGUGCCAUUCUUUAUGGGGCCUGAAGCAGAACUUUUAAAAGUCUUCAGAUGGAUUUUGAAUAAUACAUGGAAGAGGCUUUUACUAUUAGCAAAAAAAAACAAAAAAAAACAAAAACAGGAUACACAUGCAAUUUCAAAUAUUUGUAUCAUGUAAAUUGUUAAUAAUUCUGCAUGUGUGUGAGCAACUUUGGUUAGUGAACAAUGUGUGUCAUGUGUAAACAGACAGUAGACAUCCACUCACCCAUGACCUAAAGAGAAAACAGACAGGAAAUGUGUAGAAUACAAAUGUGUAGAACAUCAAUAAAACAUCAUGAGUUACUGAAUAAAUAGAAGCUUUUUCUGAA